Molecule: unclassified non-coding RNA, 2079 nt
Organism: Vigna unguiculata (cowpea)
Lineage: Eukaryota; Viridiplantae; Streptophyta; Magnoliopsida; Fabales; Fabaceae
Source: RefSeq, a predicted model, not a curated record
UAGAUAUGUGAAAAUAAUUCGUUCCCCACAUCCCCCACGACUCUCGCUCACUCAUACGUUCACCACCUUCCUCCGUCACUGCGUCACUGUCCCUUCCUCCACCGGCGUUCCGCCGCUCACUGUGCCUUCACUCGCUCACCGUUCCUUCUGCACCGUUGGCAUCGCCCACCACUGUCAAAUACAAUUUGUAAUCCGUAAUUCCCUUUUCUGGGUUUAGUUUGUAAUCCCUAUAUUCGUUGGCUCUGUUUGUACUCAAUCUGUGUUGAAUACGUGUCUUCAGUUGCUCACCGUUCGUUCUGCAUCGUUGGUGUCGCCCGCCACUAUCAAGUUCAAUUGUCAAGGCUAUAGCUUCUGAUUUGGUGUGGGAUUUCCAGUCCAAUCAUUAGGACGACAAAAAAACGAAGAGGAGCUUCGUGUGUUUUCACUAAGUCUGUAAGAACAAACGAGUGAACGAGUCGAAAAGCAAGUAACUGCACUGCAUGGACCCUCUGGAAGCUUUGGUCGCUCAAAUCCAAGGGCUAUCGAGCACUUCUAGCGAUGUCAAUCGCCUCCAAGUUAUUUUGAAACAAGCCGAUGACUCGCUCCGAUCCAAGUCAACUCGCCUCCCCCCACUUCUCACUCAACUCGACCCUUCCAUUCACUCACUUGGUUUUCUCUACAUCUUAGAUGCCUACAUGACUAGUCCGAUCACCAAAACGCAGGCUGAGACUGCCGUUCCAAUCGUUACCAGGUUCAUCGGCGCUUGCAACGAUCAGAUUCGUUUGGCCCCUGAAAAAUUUUUAUCUGUGUGUAGGAGGUUGAAGGAUCAAGUGAUGUUGUUGGAAGCUCCAAUACGAGGUGUGGCUCCUUUGUUCACUGCACUUCGGAAAGUUCAGGUCUCUGCAGAGCACUUAACUCCCCUACAUUCAGAGUUUCUUUUGCUUUGCUUGUUGUCAAAGUGCUACAAAACUGGUUUAUCCAUAUUGGAUGAUGAUGUUUUUGAAGUUAAACACCCACGAGACUUUUUUCUCUACUGUUAUUAUGGAGGAAUGAUAUGCAUUGGAAUGAAGUGCUUUCAAAAAGCAUUGGACCUUCUGCAUAAUGUUGUAACUGCUCCCAUGUCUGUCAUUAAUGCUAUAGCUGUGGAAGCGUACAAAAAGUAUAUCCUGGUUUCUCUCAUUCGUAAUGGGCAGUUCUCUACCAGUCUUCCUAAGUAUUCUUCUUCUGCUGCUCAAAGGAACCUGAAGAACUUCUGUCAGCCUUAUGUCGAAUUGGCAAAUACUUAUGGCAAUGGAAAAAUUGCAGAAUUAGAGGCUUUCGUCAAGACAAAUGCGGAGAAGUUUGAAUCUGACAGCAACCUUGGACUGGCUAAGCAGGUAGUAUCAUCCAUGUAUAAGCGGAAUAUUCAAAGAUUGACCCAAACAUACUUGACCCUUUCUCUCCAAGAUAUAGCCAACACAGUGCAGUUAAAUAGCCCCAAAGAAGCUGAAAUGCAUGUGCUACAAAUGAUUCAGGAUGGUGAGAUAUAUGCUACUAUCAACCAGAAGGAUGGAAUGGUGAGAUUCUUGGAGGAUCCUGAACAGUAUAAAACCUGUGAAAUGAUUGAGCACAUUGAUUCAUCAAUCCAGAGAGUAAUGGCACUAUCAAGGAAGCUAACUGGAAUGGAUGAACAAAUUUCAUGUGAUCAGUUGUAUUUGUCUAAGACCGGAAGAGAGAGACAAAGAUACGACUUCGAUGACUUUGAUGUUCCACAAAAGUUCAACAUUUAAGACUCUUAUUGUGGAUAUAGAGGUAGAUGAGCAUACGAAGAGAGCCAUGGAGAGAUUAAGUAGUUCAGCCUCUCAUAUUUCCUUUUCAACCAUUCCAACAAAAUAGGAGAUGAACAGUGGAGAAGAAGAUGGAAGAUCUUCCUUAUUGUCACUGUUAUCACAAGAAUGACUCAAUUGUUCUUUUUCCUAACACCCAAUUGUCACUGUUAUUUUGGAUACAUAGUAGGAUUUGGAAAGUUGGUCUUAGAAUUCAAGACAUGGUAAAUACAAUGCCAGUUGAUAAUCAAUUAAGAAAUUAUUACAGUAUAAAUUGUGAAUUAUAUUGAUGUCA